UACGGAAGGCAGCAGGGGGAAGUAUUGGACAAUGGGCGAAAGCCUGAUCCAGCCAUGCCGCAUGAGUGAAGAAGGCCUUCGGGUUGUAAAGCUCUUUUAGUGAGAAAGAUAAUGACGGUACUCACAGAAGAAGUCCUGGCUAACUCCGUGCCAGCAGCCGCGGUAAUACGGAGAGGGCUAGCGUUAUUCGGAAUUAUUGGGCGUAAAGAGCGCGUAGGCUGAUUAGUAAGUUAAAAGUGAAAUCCCAAAGCUUAACUUUGGAAUUGCUUUUUAAAACUGCUAGUCUAGAGAUUUGAAAGAGGAUAGAGGAAUUCCUAGUGUAGAGGUGAAAUUCGUAAAUAUUAGGAGGAACACCAGUGGCGAAGGCGUCUAUCUGGUUCAAAUCUGACGCUGAGGCGCGAAGGCUGGGGGAGCAAACAGGGAUUAGAUACC
RNAcentral lists this ribosomal RNA (432 nucleotides) under uncultured bacterium. Its description in RNAcentral is "bacterial SSU rRNA". It matches the Rfam family "Bacterial small subunit ribosomal RNA", at positions 340 to 786 of the family's 1533-position model. The record is from RNAcentral.